RNAcentral lists this ribosomal RNA (458 nucleotides) under uncultured bacterium. Its description in RNAcentral is "partial 16S ribosomal RNA". It matches the Rfam family "Bacterial small subunit ribosomal RNA", at positions 338 to 795 of the family's 1533-position model. The record is from RNAcentral.
CCUACGGGGGGCAGCAGUGAGGAAUAUUGGUCAAUGGGCGAAAGCCUGAACCAGCCAAGUCGCGUGAGGGAGUCCUGCCCUAUGGGUUGUAAACCUCUUUUGUCGGGGAGCAAAAGCCGGACGUGUCCGGCUGUGAGAGUACCCGAAGAAAAAGCAUCGGCUAACUCCGUGCCAGCAGCCGCGGUAAUACGGAGGAUGCGAGCGUUAUCCGGAUUUAUUGGGUUUAAGGGGGGCGCAGGCGGAUUUUUAAGUCAGCGGGAAAAUCGUGGGGCUCAACCCCAUCCAGCCGUUGAAACUGGGGAUCUAGAGUGUGCGAGAGGUAUGCGGAAUGCGUGGUGUAGCGGUGAAAUGCAUAGAUAUCACGCAGAACCCCGAUUGCGAAGGCAGCAUACCGGUGCACAACUGACGCUCAGGCACGAAAGCGUGGGUAUCGAACAGGAUUAGAUACCCGUGUAGUC